Molecule: non-coding RNA, 25 nt
Filed under: Mus musculus (house mouse)
Lineage: Eukaryota; Metazoa; Chordata; Mammalia; Rodentia; Muridae
Source: RNAcentral
GAUGUCUCUUGUGGACCUGUGGAGC